Molecule: transfer-messenger RNA, 377 nt
Filed under: Tomitella fengzijianii
Lineage: Bacteria; Bacillati; Actinomycetota; Actinomycetes; Mycobacteriales
Description: Standard tmRNA
Rfam family: transfer-messenger RNA
About the family: Bacterial tmRNA, also known as 10Sa RNA or SsrA, is named for its dual tRNA and mRNA-like properties. Its role is to liberate the mRNA from a stalled ribosome.
Source: Rfam by way of RNAcentral
GGGGCUGAACGGUUUCGACUGCGUGAGUAGAUCCAAGGGAAGCGUGCCGGUGCAGGCAGGAGACCACCGUAAGCGUCGCUGCAACCAAUUAAGCGCCAACUCCAAGCAGAGCGCUGACUCCUUCGCCCUCGCUGCCUAAGCAGCAGGCGUGAGUCUGUCAGUCCGGGUUCGCCCUCGGCCCGGGUACUGGCAUCAGCUAGAGGGCUCACCGUCAUGAUCGGUCGCGGAGAUUGACGGGACAUCACACAGCGACUGGGGUCGUCAUCCGGACGGGUUCGCGAGAUCCGGAGACCCGAGCAGAGGCAUAGCGGACUGCGCACGGAGAAGCCUCGGUGACACUGCGGAGGACCCGGGUUCGAUUCCCGGCAGCUCCACCG